ACCUUCAUUUUAAUGGUUCCUAAACUAACUUUGUAAAAAUACUGAGAAUACUAGUAUGGCCCCUGUUUAAUGAAGAAAAGCAAAUUCUUAUAAGUGUUAAUAUUUUUU
Small nuclear RNA from Trichechus manatus latirostris (Florida manatee), 108 nucleotides. NCBI's taxonomy places the organism in Eukaryota, Metazoa, Chordata, Mammalia, Sirenia, Trichechidae. The record is from RefSeq and is a predicted model, not a curated record.